CCCCGAGAGGGACCUAGUGCCUCUACCCAGAUUUCUGUCGCUCUGUCACCUGCGCUAUGCCCUGCCGUACUCACAGGAGCUGUAGAGAGGACCCCGGGACAUCUGAAAGCCGGGAAAUGAUGCAGCUCCUGGAGUUCCCAGUACGUCAACACUGGCCUGAGGAGCUGGCCUAGCACUUCCCACCAUUGAAACUGCAGUCUGGACAGCAGAGAAAGGAUAGACCCAUCACACCCGAGUCAAGAAAGCACCACCACCCCCAAAGUCGUAGGCCAUUAUUCCAGGGGAAAACCCCCUCAAACUAAAGCUAAGAAAAAUUAA
RNAcentral lists this small RNA (318 nucleotides) under Pan troglodytes (chimpanzee). RNAcentral describes it as "processed transcript". Lineage: Eukaryota; Metazoa; Chordata; Mammalia; Primates; Hominidae. The record is from RNAcentral.